Molecule: long non-coding RNA, 1522 nt
Organism: Ananas comosus (pineapple)
Lineage: Eukaryota; Viridiplantae; Streptophyta; Magnoliopsida; Poales; Bromeliaceae
Exons: 3
Source: RefSeq, a predicted model, not a curated record
UUUUUAAAUCUCUUGUUUUGACCCCUACUUAUUAAGUUUGGACCUUUUCGUAAUUUUCAAUUUUCGAGAGACUCGGCGGCAUAUUAUUACCUAAUUAGCCCCUAAUUUAAUUAGAUCUUCCUAUGCCAACCCUCACCCGAUCUCUCUUUUUCCCCCGCACGACUCUCUCUCUCCUCCUUCACCUCGCCCGUAUGCCACUGUCGCUCCUCACGUGCGCGUGCGACGCUAUCCGAUCCCUACCGUCAUCGUCGUUAUCCGUGGCCGCAACUGCCGCAACCCUUUUUGCUUGAUCUCUAUCGGCAUUUUUGGUUCGUCGUCGACGGUAUCUCGUCGUCGUUGUCUCCGUCUUUGAAGAGGUUCCGGUGAUUGAUUUUUCGUGCAAUUUUCGACUGGAUAGCUUAGCUUAGAAGCCGCUUUUGAGCAGGUAUGCGGUGUCUGUUAUGCCUCAGGUUUGGGGCGUGACAGUAUUAUACAAGUUAGUCAAGGUUCCUGGACAUUCCUAAGCUUCAAAUAGCAAAAUUACCUAGCUUCAGGUGCAUAUCGGAAUAAAAUAUAUUACAGAGGCCUAAUUACAUUCUGAUAACUAAACAAGAAGAUAUUCCAUGGAUGCACUUUUUCUAAAAAGAAAUUGAUGUUUAUCUAAAAGAAAAACUGAAAAUCAAAAGGAUAAAAUAAGUCAGAAGUAAUUAUAAUUCUUGAAAUCAACGAAGGUGAUGCACGAGGAAAAUCAUCAUUUGUCUCGCACAUACAUCGGCAUUGUCUCUAUUCUAGCUCUUCCAAACAGAAACUAUAGCAGUUGCUCGCCAAGAUUCAUGACUAAGCCUUCUCCCUACUCUUUAUCAAGAGCAGGUUGACAAGCUGCCCUUGCAUGAUUCCACUCCAAAGUACGUCCACAUAUUUACUAAUGAGAUGCACUAUCUUAUUGACAGAACGUUAGAACAUAUCAACUUAUUGUGUAUCUGAAGACAAAUGAUUACUAGUUAAAUCUCACGCAUGAUAGCAUCUGCAGUCUCUUGGCUCCUGCUGUAGGAUAUUUACUGAGUCUCGUUAAAUAAACCAAAAAACCAACAUCUAUUGGAGAAAGGUGAGAUAUAGAAGAAGGAUGGUUGGGUGUCCUUCUAGUAGAUCAUAAAAAGAAGAAGAUAAGAGGGGAAAAUGAAAGACCAUGAUAUUUUAGAAAGCAAUCUUACAGGGGUCGAUGGAAUGGCUCAAAUAAAAAGACAACGGGACAUUCUUCUUCGUUAUCUUUUCAGAAGAAUAAGCACAAGUACCUUUCUCUUGCAUUGAUUUGAGGCAAUUUUUCUUGAGUGGAGAUCUCCAACCUUUCCAUUUUAGCAUAACACGAUCUUUAUAUAAUCAUUGUAUAGUUAUUUGAAAGGUAAGGAUCAAUAGUUUCACAAGAUAGCAUAAAAUUUCACAGAGCAAGCAUUUUCUGGGUGUGAUUUCAACUUUACUCCUAUAUCUUUUGGUGAUCAAAUUACAAGCAUUUGGAAAAGUCAUGUAAUUAUGUUUAGACCAAUAA